UACGGAGGGGGCUAGCGUUGUUCGGAAUUACUGGGCGUAAAGCGCGCGUAGGCGGCUUUGUAAGUUAGAGGUGAAAGCCCGGAGCUCAACUCCGGAAUUGCCUUUAAGACUGCAUCGCUAGAAUCAUGGAGAGGUUAGUGGAAUUCCGAGUGUAGAGGUGAAAUUCGUAGAUAUCAGGAGGAACAUCGGUGGCGAAGGCGGCUUCCUGGACACUUACUGACGCUGAGACGCGAAAGCGUGGGGAGCAAACAGG
This 253-nucleotide ribosomal RNA is filed under the name uncultured bacterium. RNAcentral's name for it is "partial 16S ribosomal RNA". It matches the Rfam family "Bacterial small subunit ribosomal RNA", at positions 524 to 776 of the family's 1533-position model. The record is from RNAcentral.